UUUGACCUAGUAAUGAUUCUAUACUUGUGCGCAAAAUGCCGGUAGUACACAAGCUAACGUAAAGUUAUUGUGAACAUAGUAAGGAUCAUUGGACAUAUUUAUAUCAUCUGUCACAGAUGUUCGCCAACCUUACCGUGGAUUUGACGAUUUUGGCAUGUUCUUGUGGAAGUUUCUCACGGAGAUGAUAUGCAAUGUUGGACGUGUUUGCCGCUUUGCAAGGCACUUUUCUCUUGCAGCGUUUGCAAGUCGGCAUUCCAUCUACAAGAACUUUGCCGUCUUCAUCCUUUAGAUAGCCGGAAAAUUCCCACACUGCCGACCUGGUCCGUUUUGGUGGCCUAAAUAGCGGAGAUGCGUCCUCUCCUUCUGCAAUUUCUUGUUUGCCUGGAUUCAUAAUUACUGACCCGUGAUGAACCACUUUCUGCUCCAACAGAUUUGACAUGUUGAACCUCGAAGACGGCUUGAGACUUCGACUGGAGACCUUCUACAACCUGACCAUUCACGUCCACACGGGAACGCUCUGAAACUAAUCCGACGGCCCUGGACGUGAGUAUGAACAAAACCACUAAAAGCAAACAGAUGGAUAUCCAUGUGAGGUACUGGACCAAGGACGACACAGACAGCCAUGUCAUAUUGUGGUACUAUGGAUCACAGUUCAUGCUGGAUCAUU
Long non-coding RNA from Gadus morhua (Atlantic cod), 667 nucleotides. RefSeq lists it as uncharacterized. The record is from RefSeq and is a predicted model, not a curated record. The transcript is spliced from 3 exons. Lineage: Eukaryota; Metazoa; Chordata; Actinopteri; Gadiformes; Gadidae.